UACGAAGGGGGCUAGCGUUGCUCGGAAUUACUGGGCAUAAAGGGUGCGUAGGUGGUUUGUUAAGUCAGGGGUGAAAUCCCGCGGCCCAACCGUGGAACUGCCUUUGAUACUGGCGAACUUGAGUGCGUGAGGGGUAGGGGGAACGAGCAGUGUAGCGGUGAAAUGCGUAGAUAUUGCUCGGAAGGCCAGAGCCGAAGGGGCCCUACUGGUGCGCAACUGACACUGAGGCACGAAAGCGUGGGGAGCAAACAGG
This 253-nucleotide ribosomal RNA is filed under the name uncultured bacterium. Its description in RNAcentral is "partial 16S ribosomal RNA". It matches the Rfam family "Bacterial small subunit ribosomal RNA", at positions 524 to 776 of the family's 1533-position model. The record is from RNAcentral.